RNAcentral lists this long non-coding RNA (458 nucleotides) under Fukomys damarensis (Damara mole-rat). RNAcentral's name for it is "lncRNA (ENSFDAG00000030212.1)". Lineage: Eukaryota; Metazoa; Chordata; Mammalia; Rodentia; Bathyergidae. The record is from RNAcentral.
CUGGAGUUUGCAUCUGGAGACUUUUCUAAAACCCACGUGUUAGAGGCCGAGUCCCAGGCUAUAGUGCUUCUGGGAGGCUGUGAAGCCUUAUGAGGCGGGGUCUAGUGAGAAAUCUUGGGUCAUUGGGCGCGUGCCCUGAAGGGAAUUAUGGGAAACCAGCCUCUUCCUUUUCCUGUCUCUUUGCUUUCCAACUGCCACAAAGUAAGCAGCUUUGCCUGCCACAAAUUCCCUCCAUAGUGCACUGUGCCUCCAUGGGCCAAGAAGCAUGGGAUGAAACCAAUCUGAGACUGAAAUCUCUAAAACUAGGAGCUGAAGGAAACCUUUCCUUUUCUGAUGUGGACUACCUCCAGUGCUUUAUUAUAGCCACAGAAGCCAGACUGAUAGAGCGUACAAAGUCAUUUACGAAGAAAAAGGCUUAAAGGAACUCAGGUUGGCUGUGAAGAAGAUGAAGAAACUUG